Molecule: unclassified non-coding RNA, 3098 nt
Filed under: Rhagoletis pomonella (apple maggot)
Lineage: Eukaryota; Metazoa; Arthropoda; Insecta; Diptera; Tephritidae
Description: uncharacterized LOC118746202, transcript variant X1
Source: RNAcentral
GCACACUUCUAAGAUCAACUAACUUGCUUGAUUAGCCAAUUAGUUGACUGUGGUCCGCACAACAAUCACUUUUUGAUUUUCUUAUUACAGUUUGUACGCACCAGACACGCAGAGACUCAGAAAUUUUUACGUGUAAACUCAUAGAGCUAUCGAAGUCAACUAACGUCAUGCAUCGGCGGCCGAAGGCAUCGGAGAGCAGCGUGCGGCAGCACAAAGCUACCACACAUAUGCGCUCAUCUUACACAACACUCACACACAUGGCACGCAGCGCACAGGAAAUACAUAAUAGUGGUAACACGAAGAACGAGCGGCACAACGCCGACAACUGCGAAGCCAAGCAGCGCCGGCUCAGCCACGGGCUACGGCAACGAUGAAGGCGACGGCAGUCAGCAAACCACCAGCGAAGCAAGCAGUGGCUGGUGCUCCGGCCAGCAACCAAACAAGCGAACGUAGCGCACGGAACACAGGCGCAACGAGCGAGUGAGCGCACGAAGCUCAAACAGAGACACAACGUAGAAGUGGUAGUGUUAUCAGUGGUGGCAGCAUAAGCAGUGGUUUAUAGGUGUAGAUAGCUACAACAAAAGCAGGCGUACUCACCUAUGCCACGGUUUUGUUGUGCGAAUGAGAGCGCGAUAAAAUGGCCGCCGAAAACAGCAGCAGCGAGAAGAGCACGAUUAUAUCUUUGCUCUCGCCUAAGGGCACUGGAUGGCACAGUAAUAAAUACUACAGAAUGGCAGGCAGGGAAAUGGCAACACCAACAACAACAAGUGGCAUGUGUGCGACUCAUGCAGAGAGCGUGCGACUAUAUUACUGUUAUUCCAAGAGUCCAUGAAACUACAAGGAGCGAAUGAAAGAAAGCGAUAUACGAUUUUUCAUUUAAGCCGCAUUGUUAUUGGAAAGUAAUACGCUACAUUAGCAAAAACUACUCCUACUAUUUACUUCUCGCACUUCUUUUGUGCUUGAUGCCCGUUCGCAAGACACUUGAGAGUUUUCGCCACUUCAUAGCCCAACGAAGAGAAACCGCAGCAGCAGCCGCAAAUGCCAACGACAAUGGAAGAGUAUUUGCGCUUCACGCUCAUUCACCAUUUUCACCGCCUCGUUAGACUGCGAUGGCAGACAUUGGAGCGGCAGCACCAACCAAGCAAAAUAUUCGCUUGAAAGGCUUAGCUACUUAAAAUUCCAACGGAACGCCUACCACAUACUAUUACUGACACUGUUUGCCAUUGUCUAGUGCGCGCUUUUCUCUGUUUCACGGUCUUUUGGUAAGCAAGUGAGAGCGCGCAGCAACAGCGCUUCGCUUCUACCAGCCUUUAGACAAGAUGCCGGCUUGCCGGGAAUCUCCUAUUACUACUUUUUUAAGCACAGUUGUGCCUUUUGUAGCAGCAUGCAACCGCUAAAAGCGAAUCCAUACUGCUGCUGUUGCUGCACUAUUUUAUUCCAGAAAUUCCAUAGCCGGGAACAAAUGCAAACGACAUUUCCGGCCAGCAAGUAUGCGAGCCAUCGCAUCCAGGUGGACGAGACGCUGGAACAAUCAGUCCUUUUGUAUACUCCGAACAUUCGGUGUCUGCCCAAGAUACGCGUUGCCCUUAACCGCAACAGUUGUACAGAUAUGUAGCUGCAGCGCGGUUUUACUUGCGCGGCUUAUGAACUUUGUACGUCCUUCAGUGGCGCUAUCAGCAGCACUCUAUGCUGGAAAGUGCAACAGAAUGGACAACGCUUUUAAAUGCAAAAGUGGCGCAGAGAAAAAUUUACGGUGAUUUAGGAAGCAGUGAUUUGCUUGCAACAAAAAGUGUGUGUGGCUUCUUAAUCAUUCGCUUGCGCUCCAGGCUUCAGGUUUCUUACCGGGAGUAGGAGCGGGUUGCGGCAGGCGCAGCGUCAACCAUUCGCCUAUGCUAUCGCGGUGGUUAGCUGGUAUGUGGGUGAGUGGGUGGCGGCAAGUGCAACUCACUGGCAACCAGCGCUCUUCGACAUGCUGUAUGUAUGAAGCUUACCCACAUACUUUUUUUUGUCGACGCUUUGUGCGUAACUAGCACAAAGCCUUUUACUUCUGUAUGGCGUUUGUUGCUGGUGACAAUCAUAGCGGUAAAUAUAUCGGCACUAAUUUCAGGGAUUUAACAUGCUGUUGGCGGUGUUGUUCGUACCAAAUAUGUGGCCACCAAAGGCUAUCAAAGGAUUUCAGCAGCAGCCAAGGAGGGCGCUAAACAUAUGUAAAUUUGGCAGCACAGCACUUGGCAAUGACCUACAAAAAUUAUUUAUUCAAAGAUUUAUUUUUUGGUUGCCAUGUGUGUGGGUAUGCUUACAAUUAUGUUUGUUUGUAUGUUUCGUCGAUUAUGUUAAUUUACAGAGAAACAGACAGACAGAUAACCAGCCAGAAAUCCUGUUUUCCAUCGCCACACUGCGCUGAGAGCGCGCAAACGAAUACAUACAUAUAUACGAACUCGUAAAAGGCAAGGAAGGACUUGUUGCAUAAUUAUGCGCGUCACUUCGAAAGCCACGAAACGCUGGUGCUACUAAAAAAUUUAUGAAUGAAAAAUGCAGAGAAGGCCGCAGUGUAGUUUUACGCUACUAAACUCCUGCCGCUUUGGCUCAAUCAUAUGGACAGCGACCAAUAGUGUUGGCAUAUCGGCAGCGACGGUGCGCCGCAGCGGCAACAUCAACGCUGCAUGGUGGUACGAGUGGCACCGGAGACGCGGCUGCUGCAGCAUGGUGAUGAUAAUGAGCAAGAUUAGCAUUUCGCAGCUUUUUCGUGAACCGUUUUAACCGCACCAAAGUAAGCAGGGGCACGCCAAGCCAAGCCAAACCAAACCAAAACCUCAGCUUCUACCGUAAUUAUUAUUAGCAUAAUUUUUUGUGUUCAUCUCCGGGUGCACAUUUCACUUAUUGUUUAUUUUGUAGUAGGUAUUUUUUGUAUAUAGGUAGUACGAGUAAUUAUGUGUGGUGCAGCGGCGUCGGUCAUUUCACAGCUUUUCAUUGAGCACGUCGAUAAAAGACGAAAAGAGUCCAUCCACUGCAGCGUUCGCUGGCUAUCAGUGUUGCCAGAACUUUUUGGGCCGACCGGCUAAUUUGGUCAAAAAAUAGGCUAAAAUGUUUCAACUAAA